Molecule: long non-coding RNA, 702 nt
Filed under: Androctonus crassicauda
Lineage: Eukaryota; Metazoa; Arthropoda; Arachnida; Scorpiones; Buthidae
Source: RNAcentral
UAUUUUAUUAUUAUUUUAUUAUUAUUCUUAUUAUUAUUGUAUUUAUUUGAAGAAAGGUCGUCGUUUUUUUUUUUUUUUUUUUUUUGGAAACAUUGUUUUAAAUCACCAAAGGAUUAUCUAUAGCCGGACAGGUGACGGAUUAUAAAUGAUAUUUGUACUUAAAUGCUUUGUAUAACUUUUGUACGAUGCGUCAAAACUUUGUUUGUCGGUUUAGAACACGAUCGUUACGGAAAAGAAACCUCUAAAACUCUCUUACCGGCGUGGACUACCACACAGUUCAGCCAUGUUUACAUAUCGCCCACCUUUAUGUCGGCCGAGAAAGGAAGAACAUUUAAGAUUUGUAGUUCGAAAAAAAAAUAUUUUGGAGAUCGAAACGAUUGCAUGUUUAUAUUUAUAUAUAUAUAUAUAUGUGUCAUUUAUGUCUUUUUUUUAUGUUUGUAAUUAAUUAUAUAUAGAGAGACUAACGCACGUACUCAUCUACAGUUUCGCUUUACCUCAUUUGUUGUAGUAGUAACCAAUGUGAAAUGCCAAAACCGAAAUCGUGCACUGUGACCAGAGUCUGUAGAAAGAAUAAUAAAUAAUAAUUCCGUCCUGUAAUUCCGUUUUAAUACAAAUUAUAAACGAAGGAAAAAAAAAAAAAAAAAAAAAAAUACGUCCAAAAAUAAAUAAAAGAAAUAUUAUGAGCAAAAUAUAAAUAUUUUU